This is an RNA transcript of Micropterus salmoides (largemouth bass), 2685 nucleotides long. It is a transcript of the gene named CUGBP Elav-like family member 6, with no coding region annotated. The record is from RefSeq and is a predicted model, not a curated record. Lineage: Eukaryota; Metazoa; Chordata; Actinopteri; Centrarchiformes; Centrarchidae. The transcript has 14 exons.
GGAGUGUGCACUGUGCAGUUGACUACAGAGAGAGAGGGAGCAGGAGAGAGAGAGAGAGAGAGAGAGCGAGAGAGAGAGCAGCUCGCCGGCCCAUUGAGGAAAGAUGGCUACAGUCACUGCAAACGGAGUGCAGCAAGAGAAUGGAUUCAGCACCACGAACAGCGCCGGCAGGAUGAACGGGCUUACCAUCGGCCAGAACACCAUUCCAAUGAAGGACCACGACGCCAUCAAGCUUUUCAUCGGGCAGAUUCCCAGAAACCUGGAGGAAAAAGACCUGAAACCCCUGUUUGAGGAAUUCGGAAAGAUAUACGAACUCACUGUACUGAAAGACAGGUUUACGGGAAUGCAUAAAGGAUGUGCCUUUCUAACAUACUGUGCCAGAGAGUCAGCACUGAAGGCCCAGAGCGCCCUCCAUGAACAGAAGACUCUGCCAGGGAUGAACCGGCCCAUCCAGGUGAAGCCAGCCGACAGCGAAGGACGAGGAGAAGACAGGAAGCUGUUUGUGGGAAUGCUCGGCAAGCAGCAGAGCGAGGACGACGUCCGGCGGCUGUUCGAGACCUUCGGCCAGAUCGAGGAGUGCACCGUCCUGCGAGGGCCUGAUGGGGCCAGUAAGGGCUGUGCCUUUGUCAAGUUCUCCAGCCACGCAGAAGCGCAGGCCGCCAUCAACAGCUUACAUGGUGGACAGACUAUGCCUGGUGCCUCGUCCAGUCUGGUGGUCAAGUUUGCAGACACUGAUAAGGAGAGGACAUUGCGCAGGAUGCACCAGAUGGCGGGCCAGCUCGGCAUCUUCAGUCCCAUGACCAUCCAGUUUGGGGCCUAUGGCGCCUACUCUCAUGCUGUAAGUCUCAGCCCGGCGGGGGAGGAGACGCAGAUGAUGCAACAGCAAGCAGCCCUGAUGGCAGCAACACAAGGGUCCUACCUGAACCCCAUGGCAGCCAUUGCUGCCGCGCAAAUGCAGCAAAUGGCAGCUUUCAAUGUCAACGGCCUGGUGGCUACUCCCAUGACACCGUCCUCAGGCACCAGCACACCCCCAGGCAUCUCUGCCACAGCCGUGCCCAGCAUAGGCGCCCCUAUCGGGGUCAACGGAUUCAGUGCCCUCCAGCCUCAAAGCAAUGGGCAGCCCACCUCUGAGCCCAUCUACACCAAUGGUAUUCACCCUUACCCAGCACAGAGUCCAACGGUGACCGACCCUCUCCAACAGGCUUAUGCUGGCGUCCAACACUACGCAGCAGCCUACCCUGCCGCCUAUGCGCCAAUCAGCCAAGCGUUCCCCCAGCAACCAACCAUCAUUCCCCAGCAACAGAGGGAAGGGCCGGAGGGUUGCAAUCUGUUUAUUUAUCACCUGCCCCAGGAGUUCGGAGAUGCGGAGCUCAUGCAAAUGUUCCUGCCUUUCGGCAACGUCAUCUCUGCCAAAGUCUUUGUGGACCGAGCGACCAAUCAGAGCAAAUGUUUCGGCUUUGUGAGUUUUGAUAACCCGUCCAGUGCUCAAGCCGCUAUCCAGGCCAUGAACGGCUUUCAGAUAGGCAUGAAGAGGCUGAAGGUGCAGCUAAAGCGGCCAAAGGAUGCCAACCGACCUUACUGACUUGUCUGCUGUCCAUACCCAGUGUGAGGUGGCCUUUCUCCGCUAUAGCCACCCUUCCCCCCACACCUGUCAUGGGGCCAAGUUCCCACAACUGAUGAAGGGCCACAACACCUUAUUUCCACAAGUGCAGUAAAAGUACAAAGACUUCUUGCUCUGCUACAUAUCAUGAAGGAAGGGUGGUCCCUUGAUCCUGCUGGAAACCCGCUGAAAGAUUGGGUGACUGCGAGAGGGAUACCAGAGUUGUUGUUUUUGUUUUUCUUUCUUGUUUUUUCUUUCUUCGCAAAUGCCUCUUUUUUCCCUGUUUUGCUUUGGCGUCUGUGGAAGAAGAUUUUUUGCAGAGACCAACUUUUUGCUGCUGUUUUUUAGACAUGAUGGGAAAAAAACCUUUAUAGACUCAUUAUGCUCAAAGCAUGCAUACUGACACAGGAUAUAGAUAAACACAGAUAACAAAACCAAACAUACACAUUUAACAAUGCUACAUUUAAAAAAUGAAAAAUGAAAAAAAAAAACUACUUUGUACAUGUAUAAAUACGUGCAAAUGCCAACUCAAGUACUAAAGCAAACACAUGCGUGUGCGCACGCACAUACAUACAGACACACACGCUCACACACACAUAUACACACACACCAGCCUGCUGCCAUUUUGGUUUUUGUGCCUACACAGGUGUUGUGCUCUGUGACAGGGCAAGCUCUGGAUCAAAGAAGAAAACGAGAAGAAGAAGAGAAGAGGAGAAUCCAGGAUAAUUUACAUGCAUCAUUCCUUAGGAAAUAGGGACCAAAGGACUAAACGCUUUUUAAAAGAAUAUAAAUAUAUAAUAUAUAAAUAUAUUUAAAAACUCAUACCUUGUAGCUGCAAGUAUUACAAUUUACUCGUAGUAAAAAAAUCAUUAAAUCAAUAUCCAGUGGCCUACUGUAAGUAAGAAUAAAAGAAAAUGGAAAUAAUGUAUUAAAAAAAGACAUGGAAUCUUAGUAUAGGGGCUGACCUUUUGCUCUGGAUGCUGAUUUAGCGCCAGGUUGUAGAAUAGUUAAGUAGAUUAGAAAAAAAAUGUAGAUUUGCUAACUUUUGCUGUUGUUUAAAAAAAAUACUUGAAGUUGUAAUGAAA